RNAcentral lists this long non-coding RNA (1011 nucleotides) under Carassius auratus (goldfish). RNAcentral's name for it is "lncRNA (ENSCARG00000025251.1)". Lineage: Eukaryota; Metazoa; Chordata; Actinopteri; Cypriniformes; Cyprinidae. The record is from RNAcentral.
AUACAACUCACGGUAAGUACUGGUUCACACAGUUCGUUCUCGGGGUGCUCACUCUCUUUCUCUUCCUCCACAGGCAACGGCUGGGACGCAAAGGCACAGUUAAUUCGGCUUGGUUUUGCUCUCACCUCUUUGCUGAUUGCAGCUCACAGGAAGUACUGGUUCACACAGUUCGUUCCUUGGGUGCUCACUCGCUUUCUCUUUCUCCACAGGCAGCGGCGUAAGUACAGGUUUCCUCGGUCUCUCCUCGUGUUACCCACUCUCUCUCCUUUUCUCUCCACAGGUAUCAACUUGGGCACAAUAGCACAGUUAGUUUGCUUUGAAUGGCUCUCACCUCUGGGCUGGACACAGCGUACUGUAAGUACAGGUUUCGCUCUAUUUCUCCUCGCGUUAUCCACUCUCUCUCCUUUUCUCUCCACAGGUAUCAACUUGGGCACAAUAGCACAGUUAGUUUGCUUUGAAUGGCUCUCACCUCUGGGCUGGACACAGCGUACUGUAAGUACAGGUUUCGCUCUAUUUCUCCUCGCGUUAUCCACUCUCUCUCCUUUUCUCUCCACAGGUAUCAACUUGGGCACAAUAGCACAGUUAGUUUACUUUGAAUGGCUCUCACCUCUGGGCUGGACACAGCGUACUGUAAGUACAGGUUUCGCUCUAUUUCUCCUCGCGUUAUCCACUCUCUCUCCUUUUCUCUCCACAGGUAUCAACUUGGGCACAAUAGCACAGUUAGUUUGCUUUGAAUGGCUCUCACCUCUGGGCUGGACACAGCGUACUGUAAGUACAGGUUUCGCUCUAUUUCUCCUCGCGUUAUCCACUCUCUCUCCUCCUCUCUACAGGUAUCAACUUGGACACAAAACACAGUUACUCUGCUUUGGAUGGCUUUCACUUCUGGGCUGGACACAACGUACUGUAAGUACAGGGUUCGCUCUAUUCCUCCUCGUGUUAUUCACUCUCUCUCCUUUUCUCUCCACAGGUAUCAACUUGGGCACAAUAGCACAGUUAGUUUGCUUUGAAUGA